Molecule: long non-coding RNA, 6308 nt
Organism: Capsicum annuum
Lineage: Eukaryota; Viridiplantae; Streptophyta; Magnoliopsida; Solanales; Solanaceae
Exons: 2
Source: RefSeq, a predicted model, not a curated record
CACACUCCAAUCAACUAAGAGAUAAAAUAAAAAAUUAAUUAUGAGAGAGAAAGUUUUACUCGCCUUUGAUAUAUACAUUAACCAUACCAUGUAAUUAUUAAAAAUUAUUAACUAUGAAAUAUAAUUUUUAAUUAUUAAAUUAUUUAUAGAUAGAGUAUAGAUCAGCCCAAUAGGUGACCCUAGUCCAAAACAAAACAAAUAUAAAAAUAAACCCCAAAUCAGAAAAGGGUUUCAAAGAUCAAAUUAGGAAACUAAACAUCAAAUUAGGAAACUAAACAGUCGCCGCCUUCAUUGGAAUCCAUGGCUUCUCCGUCGACUACUCAGCUCCCAUGCUCCCAUGAUCCGACGACUUCUCAGCUCCCUUGCUCCUGACGCUGUCUUCAGCUUGUCACGUGAAUUAUUGAAGCUAAGUUCCUCUUUUCCCUUUUAUUUAAUCCUUUAUUUAUGGGUUGAGCUUCAAAUAAACUUAUACCACCAUCUUACUAAAAAUUAGAUUCAAGGGAAAAUUGUAGUGUUCAGGUGUUUAGUGUUGUUGAUUAAAACUAUAUAUGUCAAGGGAUUGUAACUUUAGAUCUGAUUUCCUAUUGUUUGAGUGCAUCGACCUUCGACAUCCAAAACUCUCAUUGGAUGUAGGUGUUGGAUUCAUAGGAACUUAUUUCCAACAGUAGAUUAAAUCAUUUCUAUUGUUAAUCCCUACUAUCUACUUACACCUCUAUUUUGGUUUCUAUCUAGGUUGCAUGUGAAUUCAAAGGGUAUCAUCUCAGCUGUAUUGAGCUAAUAUGAAUGAAAUUAAUUAUUGUUAUCAGUUUUUCAAGUGAAGUUGGUUCAUUAUUCGCCUGAAGCUGAUGUUUCAAAGAAUUAGUUACCCAUUCUUUUGUGGACUAUUUCCUACUCUCUUCACCUUGUUGAUCAUUUGAUACCUCUUUAGAAGGUGAAUUGUGAUUUCCAUGUGGUACCUCUUGUUUCUCUCUAUUCUCCUCUGUAAGCGCCUCAAAAUGAAUUUUGGUUGCAUAAUUUUGCUACAUCAUCAUUUAUUACUGUAAACUUCAACAACAUAUAGAAUGUUUUAAAAACUUACUGCAAAUCACAAGCAAACAAAUUGGAAUUUUAAAAACUUUCCUCAAAUUAUAAUCAAAUUUGUUUAUUCAAUUAUAAACAAAUUUGAGAGGGGUAUUAAGCUGUUAAGUCAUACUAUGAAGAUUUGGGAGAGAGUGAUCAAGUGAAGGUUGAGGAAGGUUGUGUCUAUUUUGGAGAAUCUACUUAGAUUUAUGCCUGGUCGCUCGACAAUAGAGGCAAUCCACUUGGUGAGGAGAUUAGUGGAGCAGUAUAGAGAAAGGAAGAAGGAUUUACACAUGGUAUUCAUCGACCUAGAAAAGGCGUAUGAUAAAGUCCCGAGGGAGGUUCUUUGGAGGUGAGAGGGGUCCCGGUGGUGUACAUCAUAGCUAUUAAGGAUAUGUACGAUGGAGGAAAGACUCGGGUGAGAAUGAGGGAAGGAGACUCAGAGUAGUUUUCGAUUGAGACUGGGUUGCAUCAGGGAUCGACUCUUAGUUCGUUCCUUUUUGUAUUGGUGAUGGACGUGUUGACGCGGAGCAUUCAAGGUGAGGAGACUUGGUGUAUGUUAUUUGCAGAUGAUGUGGUGCUGAUUGAUGAGAUGCGCGGGGGUGGAGGGGGGGUGUGAAUGACAAAUUGGAGGUUUGGAGGUAAACCUUUUAAGUCUAAGGGGUUUAGGUCGAGUAGGUCUAAAACUGAGUAUUUGGAAUGUAAGUUUGGUGACUUGAGACAGGAGGACGAAGGGGUGGUGAGGUUGGACUCCCAGGAUGUCUGUAAGAUGGACAGUUUUAAGUAUCUUGGGUCUACGAUUCAAGGGAAUGGUGAGAAUGAUGAAGAUGUCUCUAAAUGUAUUGAAGCAGGUUGGAUGAAGUGGAGGCUAGCCUCAGGAGUGUUAUGUGAUAAGAAGGUGCCCCUUAAGCUUAAAGGCAAAUUCUAUAGAGUGGCAGUCCAUCCGGCCAUGUUGUAUGGUGUGGAGUAUUGGCCGGUCAAGCACUCGCACAUCUAAAAAUUGAAGGUGGAGGAAAUGAGAAUGUUGUGUUGGAUGUGUGGGCUUACUAGAGGUGAUAGAGUAAGAAAUGCGACUAUUCGGGUGAAGGUGGGAGUGGCUUCAGUGGAAGAUAAGUUGUGGGAAGAAAGACUGCGAUAGUUUGGGCAUGUGAUGAGAAGGAGUGCGGAUGCCCCAGUCUGGAGGUGUGAGAGGCUUUCUUUGGAUGGAUUUAAGAGGGGUAGAGGUAGGCCGAAGAAAUACUAGAGGUAGGUGAUUAGACAUGACAUGGAGUAGCUUCAGCUGAUUGAGGACAUGACCCUAGAUAGUAAGGUGUAGAGGUCGCGGAUAAGGGCAGAAGGCUAAUGCGGGUGUGUGGGUUGUAGAUUGCAGUAUGGAGAGUCUUGCGUAGCUGGGUUAGUAAGCCUAGGUCCAUGUUCAUAGGGUCCUUAUUAUGGGAGUGUAGGUUAUUACUAGGUGGGUGUACUAGUUCUUAUGUCUUAGUACCUAUUUUCUUAUUUCGUAUCGCCCUUAUGUCUCAUAUUUCAUAUUUCUCUUAUGUCUAUUUUAUUUUCUUAUUCCUGAUUUUCUAUUAUGUUUUCCCAUCCCUUUGUUUACUGUUCUCUACUUUGAGCCGGGGGUCUAUCGGAAACAGCCUCUCUACUUCCUCGGAGGUAGCGGUAUGGACUGCGUACAUCUUAUCCUCCCCAGAUCCCACUCUUGUGGGAAUACAUUGGGUAUGUUGUUGUAGAUACUAUCAAGGUUUCAACUAGUAAGAAAAUUAUAUACCUAAAUCCGUUUUUCACCAAAAACUUCUCAAUUAACAAUUAUCUAUUAAAAAAUACCUGAUAAUUAUUAUUGUACACUUUAAAAAAAAACUAUAAUUCCAAAAAAGAAAGCUCAUGUAAUUAAAAAAACUAAGAUACUUGCCCAAAUCCCAACAAAUUAGUUUUAAAACCACUCUAUGAUGAUUAUUAUACAACACAAAAUAAUAAUAAAUACCUAAACCAAAACCCUAACAAACCUUAUCAUAAUCAAUAAGCAGAUAUUUUUGUGUGUAGCAAUUGUUGAAACCAUACGUCCUUUAAGUAGUAGAUUAUAAGAAUUUUUUAACUGAAAGGCCUCCGCCCAAUUAUAUAGAUUUCAAAGAAAUUUGUAUUUGUAUCAUACGAAACCUAAGUACAAAUCAUUUUCUAAAAGUCUUCAAACUUCUAUAUAUACAAGUUUAGAUAUACGCACCUCACACGUGUACCUCAAUUUAGUGAGUUCAAUUUUGUAAAAUCAUUCAAAAUAUAAAAAGCAUGACAGUCUUUCAAAAUAUCUAUUGCAUUUUCUAUUUGUUAGUAUCUUGACAUCAGGACAACUUUUCGUUAUUAUCAAAAGUAGAAAUUAGCCAACCGAAAAACAUGUAUAUUAGUUUAAACACAAGAAAGUUUACAAAGAAGAGUAUAUUCUCUUUACUCCUUCCUUGAGCCAUUCUCCUUCACCUCUUCUCUCUUUCUUUAAUCUUCUGAAUCUCUUCUUCCUACUUCUCCAAUUUUAUAUCAACACUUUCUUUAAUCUUCAGAAUCUUUUCCUCCAAUUUCUCCAAUUUCAUAUCACACAAUUAUUAUUUUAUUUGGAUUGUUUAGGUUUGUUAGAUUCUUCAGAAGCUUCCUCAACUAAUCUGUUCAACCAGAUUAAUUUCUCAAUAAUUUUCAAUAUGUUGGGAAGAUUUCUCGAAAGAUAUUUAUGUCAACUAACAUUUAUGUUUAGGAUUUUAUAAUAGUAGGUAGAUAGAUUAAACUCAAUUUAUAAUGAAUAAAUAUAUUUGAUCCACUUUCAAACUUAAUUAGUAAUCCCAAAAUUAAAAUAUUCGACUAUAAUCCUAAAUUUAUAUGUUCGUCUUUCAAAUAAAAGUUAUGCAUAUCAAGAUUCAACACUUAUUAUAAUCUUAUAUUUAGAACUCAACUAAUAAGUUUAAUUGAAGAUUCAACUAAUACUAAUGAAAUAGUUAAAUAACAUAAUCAAAUCAAAGUCAUAGCUAAAGAAAGGAAGGAAAAAAAAAAAGAGAAACAUUUGAUGUUUUUGACCAUUUCAUUCGGUGACGUUUUACUUAUUUCUUUCCGUUUUUGAUAAAAAAAAUUCUACAAAAGAGAAAUUAUCAAAAAAGGAGAAUUUAUUGUCUUGUUAAUUAUUUAAUCAUAAUUUAUAUAUAAUCGUUAAAAUUAUUAACUAAAUGGAAUAAAGAAAGAUGGAGAAGAUGAUAAUAAUGAAUACACACAAAAAAAAGACAACCUGAAUUAAUAAUAAAAUAAGAAAAAGUAGAAGUAGAGCUAUAUUUUAAGUAAAUUUUGAUCCAAAAUAUUAGUUAAAUAGAAUUGUAUGUUUUUUUAUAUAAGGUAAAAUUCUAAUUGAUUUAGAAGUGUUAAAUAUUAUGAAUUCUUACUUAGAUUAAGUAAUCAAAGCAAAAAAAGUUAUGACUAAAAUUAAUUGUAAAUACAAAUUUUAUGAAAAAUGGGAAAGGUUUUUGAAUUUUUUUGGGGACAAAAAGAAAGAAACAAACCUUUGAUGUUUUUGACCACUUCUUCGGUGAUGUUAUGCUUAUUUCUUUUAAUUUUUGACAAAAAUUUUCUACUGAAAGAGAAACACAGAAAAAAUUAUCAAAAAAGGAGAAUUCAUCGUCUUGUUAAUUAUUUAAUCAUAAUUUAUAUAUAAUAUUUAAAAUUAACAACUAAAAGGAAUAAAGAAAUAUGGAGAAGAUGAUAAUAAUGAAUACACACACAAAAAAAGAUAACUUGAAUUAAUAACAAAAUAAGAAGAAAAAGUAGAAGUAGAGCUAUGUUUCUAGUAAAUUUUGAUCUAAAAUAUCAGUUAAAAACAAUUGUAUUUUUUUUAUAUAUAAGAUAAAAUUCUAAUUGAUUUAGAAGUAUUAAAUAUUAUGAAUUCUUACUUUGAUUAAAUAAUCAAACCAAAAAGAGCUAUAACUAAAAUUAAUGGCGAAUACAAAUUUUAUGGAAGAUGGGAAAGGUUUUUGAAUAUUUUUGGGGAAAAAAAGCAUUGGGAGAAGGGUUAAUUUUUUAUUAUUAUAUAUUUUUUUUGGUUUCACUUUGAGGGGUGGGAUUUUCUUUAAUUACAAUUUUUUUAUUAUAUUAUUUUUUAGUGGGGGUUCACAUUGGGGGUGGGGUUUUCUUAUUACUAUUUUUUUUAUUUCAGGUUGGGGAUUUCACAUUAUUUUUUUUUAAUUGUUUUUUUUAAUGGAAAAAUUACACGAAGUGACAAACUUAAGAUCAUAAUUAUAAUAAAUAACAAUACUUUUUCAAAAUUACAUUUUAUAGCAAAAGUAGUAUUUUUUUCCCAUUAACUCUGCACACGCGUGUUUCACUCUUUCUUUCCUAUUUUCACUCUAUUAUUUUACCUCUCUCCUAUUUAACCAUAUAUUUUUUUCCCUUUCCAGUGUACCUCUUGAAAAUCAAUCAACCAUAAAUAUAUAUUGUACGCUCUCUGUGAUUAUCAAUGAUCUUUUAUACACAACCUAGCUACUGCUCUUUAUAAGUGUAUAUAGUAAACAUAUAUUGUUAGUUUCUUGCAAGCUACUCUAAUUUUUUUCUCUUCUUUUUGCUGCUGUUGCUUCACAAUUAUGACAACGUCCAGGGUUACGAUGAAGCUGUUGACUGACAGCAAAAGCAAAAAGAUCAUGUUUGCAAGACUGGCAAGAGUGUAUUGAUUUCCUGUUUCACAUUCUUGCAUUUGCCAAUAUGCAGUGUCAUUAGGCUUCUCGACAACGUCCAGGGUUACGAUGAAGCUGUUGACUGACAGCAAAAGCAAAAAGAUCAUGUUUGCAAGACUGGCAAGAGUGUAUUGAUUUCCUGUUUCACAUUCUUGCAUUUGCCAAUAUGCAGUGUCAUUAGGCUUCUCUUUGUCAAAGGAAUGGUUGGGUACUUGGGGAACUUAUAUAAGAACCUUCAGAAUCUUGAUAAUAUGUACAUUCCACCAAAUCGGAAAAAAGGACGUCCUCUUGAAACCAAAGCCAACAGCCUAUGAUACUUCAGCACCUCUAUUACUGAUCACCAGCUGCCCUGUUGAUAGACAGUUUUUAAUGUUCCCUAACCAUAAUGGUUACGUGACUGAUGAUCAUCAAACGUAUCGCCCUAAGGCCAAUGGAUACGGUGAAUAUGAACACGCAAUUUGAAAUUUCUCUGUAUUUGAACUUUUUGAACUACACGUGGCAUGUUUUUAGUUUAGUUUGAAGAUGUAAUUGUAUUUGUAUUUUUAUUAGAUUAUAGGUCAUGUA